RNAcentral lists this ribosomal RNA (265 nucleotides) under uncultured archaeon. RNAcentral's name for it is "partial 16S ribosomal RNA". It matches the Rfam family "Archaeal small subunit ribosomal RNA", at positions 717 to 982 of the family's 1478-position model. The record is from RNAcentral.
ACACGACUACAUUAGAUACCCCUGUAGUCCCAGCCCUAAACGAUGCGCGUUAGGUAUGUCGGUAACCACGUGUUACUGAUGUGCCGAAGAGAAAUCGUGAAACGCACCACCUGGGAAGUACGGUCGCAAGGCUGAAACUUAAAGGAAUUGGCGGGGGAGCACCACAACAGGUGGAGCCUGCGGUUUAAUUGGACUCAACGCCGGGAAGCUCACCGGAUAGGACAGCAGAAUGAUUGCCGGGCUGAAGACCCUGCAUGACUAGCUG